GGGCACGAAGGGGGUUUAAGUGCCCAGUAAUGAAGUGGUUAAAGCAUCGCUCCAAGUUUGCUAUCGCUUUUAAUAUUUUGGCCAACUUGGCCCAAGCAAAACUAUUUCCUUCACUAAUGCAUGUGGCUGCGGUCAGCGCUGUAGCCUCAGCUACAUACAGUAUUCACUUGCAAACCGUAAGACAUUAUACAAUAUACGUUGUAUAAUAAACAAUUGGAUUUAAAAAUCGAGUUGGUAGGUGAAAUCGAUUCAUAUUUUUUAAAAAUCGACUUUUUUCGAUUUUUUUAUCCCAGGACCGGCGUGAAGAAUCCUCCUAUUAUCUGGUGCAGACCCUUACAAACGUCCCUCCUGUCUUGAUAGCCUCUCCGGGGUGUGCAGGGGAGAAGUCAGUCAGCCGCGAUCCCGGGAAAGGGCCGUGAGGCCAGCCGUCACGGACUAGGCUGAAGCC
Rana temporaria (common frog) is the source of this 448-nucleotide long non-coding RNA. RefSeq lists it as uncharacterized. The transcript has 2 exons. The record is from RefSeq and is a predicted model, not a curated record. Lineage: Eukaryota; Metazoa; Chordata; Amphibia; Anura; Ranidae.